RNAcentral lists this long non-coding RNA (2906 nucleotides) under Gallus gallus (chicken). Its description in RNAcentral is "lncRNA (ENSGALG00010027589.1)". The record is from RNAcentral. Lineage: Eukaryota; Metazoa; Chordata; Aves; Galliformes; Phasianidae.
CUCUGCCUCUCCCUGCCAGCCCCGACAGAUCUCCGCACCGCGGGGGGAGAAGGAUUGUAUCCAUGAAUGUGUGUAUAAUGAACCCAGAAGGAAUGCAGCACUAAAAGAAGCCUUUGUAAUGUUGCUAUUUUAAGGAGACCCUUGGGCCGAUGCUUUGGACCCAGAAAGACACAAGUGGGAUGGAGAUCAGAGCCCUGGGCUUUUCCCCGCAGACCAGCAACUGGUGCCAUUUCUGGCUGAUUCUCUACUUUUCUCUUCCUAGUGAGGGUCUUUUGUUAUUUAUCAGCUCCUUUCAAAGCAACAACCUAAGAGAUUUCACAAUACUUUUCACAUAUGGUUACUCAGCCUGGGGCUCUCCACAGCUUAGCUGUUUCAGUGAUAUUUGCACAGCACUGAGCAACAGCAUUCCUGACCUGCAGGAGAAGUGAGUGCCUCAAACCUCCUUUUCUCCAUAUACACAAGAUCUUUUUUUGCUCUUAAAAAACCCCAGACCCCUCUCCCCAUCCCUGCCAGUUGCACGGCAGACUGGAUGUCCUUGGCAGCACACUUGGGCUUGCAUCCAUUUUUCUUCUUUGUGUGUGUGUGUGUUGUCAUCCAAUGCAUGGCCAGAACCAAAGGCAAACUCGUGUGUGUGUUGUCAUCCAAUGCAUGGCCAGAACCAAAGGCAAACUCCAUUUGGGAGGUGAGCAAGGAAAACCCCUCCAAAACAGCCAGGAGCUGAAAAGAUUUGGCAAGCUUUGCAGGAGAAAACUGCCAGCAGGGAAAGACGAGGUGGAGGCAUUACUCUGACAGAAGAAGCUCUGAUUAGCAGAUUAUCACUUAAGUGAUGUUGAUCCCAGCCACGCUGCCUUCCAAAUGAGCCCUUUCACAGCUGCCAGCUGCACCACGGAGUCGUGAAUGUAAAUGAGUGGGCCAGAUCCUCUGCUGGCAUCCAUCGACGUGGCUUUGAUGGACCGUCCUGGAUCUACAACAGCCGGAGGAGUGUGGCUGUCAUGGGAGCCUGACUUGCUAUGCAGAUUUCUUUGAGAGCCUGUGGGAAAGGGCCUGAAGCUGGAUGUACUGCAGGAUAGGGCAGCAUCAACUGCACAGCUGGAGGGACCCUUGAGACUUUGACUUUUGCUGCCAAACAAAGCCAUCUUUUUGCUGAGCUUGUAAACUGUUCCCUGGUACCGUACGCCAGCAUAUAGCAUCCUGCCCUCAUAAAGCUCUACUUAUCUCCAUCCAACUUCUUGGGCUGAGCGUGUGGGAAGCAUGUGAGGGACACUCAUGAGCAGCCUCGCAUUCUCCGAGCUGUGCUUUCCCCUGGGGAAGGCAUACUUGACCUCUGGCCACGUCCAUCCAAUCUGACAGACUGGUCUUCGGAGAAUGGUGACCAAGAAUAAGCUCCAUGUCCCACAUGCCACCUGUUCAUCUGCACCGCUCCCUCUCCAGCAGCUCAUGGGCCGUGCCCAGCCUAUGUGUGACACCUCUCUGGCUGCUCAGAUGGAAAGUAAGAGCUUGGAGAGUGAGGACAGCAUGGAGUUAUGGAAGACAUGGCUACAAGACCAUUCUUUCUCCAUCUCCAUGUGCUUCUGAAGGACCAGUCUGAUUCUGGCUCCUGCCAACUUAGGAUAUGCUAUGAUUCUGUGAACACUUUUUGCAGCAAGUCAGCCAUAAGAAACAACAUACUCUCAGACAAUCAAGCCUCCAAAUUAAGAUGGGGAGCCUUGUUGUGAAGGAGAUGGGUUUUUUUUUCCUACUGUAGAAGGGAUGUUCAAUGCUAUAGUGACAAGGAACAAUUCUUCAGCCUUAGACAGCAGAAAGAAGAAACAUAAAGAGACUGUACAGUUCUUGGGACACCGAGACAACUAUCUACGUGCUUUGUGGAAGCAGAGACAAGUAUGAGAUUUGGCUUUCUGGGCUAUGAGGGCACACAGCUGGCUCACAUCCAGCUCCCAUCCACCAUUUAGAUAAGAUACUAUUGCUUUUAAUAAAGACAAGUCAAAGAUCUUCUCCUAAGUGCUCUUAAAGAACUCCAGCAUUGUGUCUACAAUAAUCCAUCCGCCUUAAAGGAUCCAGCAGUACAUCACCACCAGUGGAUAUAAGAAGUAAUUAGUCAUCAUUUAGGGAAGUAAGAUUUAACAGUUAUUUUGUUGGCAGAAGUGCCGUGAUAAAAAUGGUACUCUGAAAGUUAUUUGGUAUUUCUCAUUGUUGCCAGAGUUCUGAACAUUUUGAUAGGAUGAAAAUAGACUUCGGUAGGAAAGUUGUGGAUUUUUUCCCCUCCAUUUAGUAGAAAUAUAAAUGUUACAAAAUAAAUAAUGAUAGAAUAUAUGUGUAUAUAUUUUCAAUGCAUAUUUUAAAAUGCAUAUGAAAUGCAUUUUUUAAAAUAUUUUGUUCAAAUAUUUUUACUAAUGUUGUAUACCUUGCAUCUGUGAAGUGGGUUAUCCCUUAAACAUCCUUUCUUCAGACAGUACUGGGAUUCAUCCUCAGGCCCCGUUAUCUUGCUCUACGUUUCCUAGAGUCCAUCUAUAUAAUAAAUGAGAAUACUGCAUGGUUACACAUCGUAAUUAUUUUUUAAAAUUAUUUUUUAUUUUUUUGCUGAUUGGGGAAAUGGUGAAAACUGGUUUUUGCAUAUUUCAACAACGUUACUCAGCCAAGUAAAAGAACAAGGGAGCAGAAUGGAAGAGAAACGAAGAAAUGGAAGGAAGGAAGGAAGGAAGGAAGGAGGGAAGGAAGGAAGGAAGGAAGGAAGGAAGGAAGGAAGGAAGGAAGGAAGGAAGGAAGGAAGGAAGGAAGGAAGGAAGGAAGGAAGGAAGGAAGGAAGGAAGGAAGGAAGGAAGGAAGGAAGGAAGGAAGAAGGGAAGGAAGAAGGGAAGGAAGGAAGGAAGGAAGGAAGGACGGAAGAAGGGAAGGAAGGAAGAAGGGAA